UUGGGUCCAGUUAGCUUGUAC
This 21-nucleotide non-coding RNA is filed under the name Arabidopsis thaliana (thale cress). Lineage: Eukaryota; Viridiplantae; Streptophyta; Magnoliopsida; Brassicales; Brassicaceae. The record is from RNAcentral.